This 253-nucleotide ribosomal RNA is filed under the name uncultured bacterium. RNAcentral's name for it is "partial 16S ribosomal RNA". It matches the Rfam family "Bacterial small subunit ribosomal RNA", at positions 524 to 776 of the family's 1533-position model. The record is from RNAcentral.
UACGUAGGGUGCGAGCGUUGUCCGGAAUUAUUGGGCGUAAAGGGCUCGUAGGCGGUUUGUCGCGUCGGGAGUGAAAACCAGGUGCUUAACACCUGGCUUGCUUUCGAUACGGGCAGACUAGAGGUAUGCAGGGGAGAACGGAAUUCCUGGUGUAGCGGUGAAAUGCGCAGAUAUUAGGAGGAACACCGGUGGCGAAGGCGGUUCUCUGGGCAUGACCUGACGCUGAGGAGCGAAAGUGUGGGGAGCGAACAGG